Molecule: ribosomal RNA, 141 nt
Filed under: Fretibacterium sp.
Lineage: Bacteria; Thermotogati; Synergistota; Synergistia; Synergistales; Aminobacteriaceae
Description: partial 16S ribosomal RNA
Rfam family: Bacterial small subunit ribosomal RNA
Source: RNAcentral
UUAACUGAGAGUUUGAUCCUGGCUCAGGAUAAACGCUGGCGGCGUGCGUAACACAUGCAAGUUGAGCGACGACAUUUCUGAAGUGGAGACAUGGAAGGGAUGAGCGGAGCAGCGGACGGGUGAGUACAACAUGAGAAGCUG